CGCUGGCGGCAUGCCUUACACAUGCAAGUCUAACGGCAGCACGGGAGCAAUCCUGGUGGCGAGUGGCGAACGGGUGAGUAAUACAUCGGAACGUGCCCAAUAGUGGGGGAUAGCCCGGCGAAAGCCGGAUUAAUACCGCAUACGACCUGAGGGUGAAAGCAGGGGAUCGCAAGACCUUGCGCUAUUGGAGCGGCCGAUGUCAGAUUAGCUAGUUGGUGGGGUAAAGGCCUACCAAGGCUACGAUCUGUAGUUGGUCUGAGAGGACGACCAGCCACACUGGGACUGAGACACGGCCCAGACUCCUACGGGAGGCAGCAGUGGGGAAUAUUGGACAAUGGGCGCAAGCCUGAUCCAGCCAUGCCGCGUGUGUGAAGAAGGCCUUAUGGUUGUAAAGCACUUUAAGCGAGGAGGAGGCUACUGAAGUUAAUACCUUCAGAUAGUGGACGUUACUCGCAGAAUAAGCACCGGCUAACUCUGUGCCAGCAGCCGCGGUAAUACAGAGGGUGCAAGCGUUAAUCGGAUUUACUGGGCGUAAAGCGCGCGUAGGCGGCUAAUUAAGUCAAAUGUGAAAUCCCCGAGCUUAACUUGGGAAUUGCAUUCGAUACUGGUUAGCUAGAGUGUGGGAGAGGAUGGUAGAAUUCCAGGUGUAGCGGUGAAAUGCGUAGAGAUCUGGAGGAAUACCGAUGGCGAAAGGCAGCCAUCUGGCCUAACACUGACGCUGAGGUGCGAAAGCAUGGGGAGCAAACAGGAUUAGAUACCCUGGUAGUCCACGCUGUAAACGAUGAGUGCUAGUUGUCGGCCGGCAUGCCGGUCGGUGACCAGCUAACGCAUUAAGUUAUCCGCCUGGGGAGUACGGUC
This 858-nucleotide ribosomal RNA is filed under the name uncultured bacterium. Its description in RNAcentral is "bacterial SSU rRNA". It matches the Rfam family "Bacterial small subunit ribosomal RNA", at positions 34 to 887 of the family's 1533-position model. The record is from RNAcentral.